UUGCUUUGGCAGCACAUAUACUGAAAUUGGGGUGAUACAGAGAAGAUUAGCAUGGCCCUACUGCAAGAAGGACAUGCAGAUUCGGAAUUGGUCAUCAUUUCU
Small nuclear RNA from Varanus komodoensis (Komodo dragon), 102 nucleotides. NCBI's taxonomy places the organism in Eukaryota, Metazoa, Chordata, Lepidosauria, Squamata, Varanidae. The record is from Ensembl.